CAGAAAGGAUAUGUAGUAAGAGCAAAGACACAGAGUUGUGUGUGCAUGUGAGGAAUGUGCCCAGGGCUUUGUAUGACACAUUGCUGGAGGCAGGAGUCCAGCCAGGACUGCAGAUAUGGUACCAUGUGAACACCUGAGUGCUUCAUUGGCUUCUCUUCUAAUCUCUUCCCCAAUCUGUGCGAUAUCCUGGCCCCUUACAGUGUCCAAGACAGAGACCCCAUUCUCUGCCAGAUGGUGCUGAUGGUGCCUCCUCCCCACUCCACUGUGUGGCCUUCUAUUUCCCCAGCUCCAAGCCUGCAAGCUCCUGAAGCUGGAACCUGCUUUCCACUAUAGGCUGAAAGGGAAGUUGGGGGGUGUUCACUUUUCAUUUCCUCUGUAGACAGCACCUCACUUCCUGUCCCCCAGGCUAGAAGAAGGCUAAAAGCUCUUGGCUUUGCUCUCCCUUCCUCUGUCCUCCCCCACUGCUUUCCCAGGAAGCCUGCAGCUCUUGAUGGAGAAAGACAACAUCAAAGCUGGCAGGCUUCCCCUCCCCCUUGUUCUGCACAAGGGGACCUGUCUUCUCAGCUGCAAUCCUUUCCUAGACAUGAUAUCAUCCUUCUCUUCUAUGCCCUGCUGAGAGAGGAGUCAAAGAAGACUUAUUUCCAUUUUAAAGAUAAUAAAAUUGAGGCCCAAAGGAGUUCUUGACUUUUCUCUACUCCCCCAAGGAUCAUGCCCAGCCAGAACCAGAAUCCAGAAGCCUGU
RNAcentral lists this long non-coding RNA (741 nucleotides) under Marmota monax (woodchuck). Lineage: Eukaryota; Metazoa; Chordata; Mammalia; Rodentia; Sciuridae. The record is from RNAcentral.